Molecule: ribosomal RNA, 503 nt
Filed under: uncultured bacterium
Lineage: Bacteria
Description: bacterial SSU rRNA
Rfam family: Bacterial small subunit ribosomal RNA
Source: RNAcentral
AGAGUUUGAUCAUGGCUCAGAUUGAACGCUGGCGGCAUGCUUUACACAUGCAAGUCGAGCGGCAGCGCGGGGGCAACCCUGGCGGCGAGCGGCGAACGGGUGAGGAAUACAUCGGAACGUGCCCGAGAGUGGGGGAUAACGCCGCGAAAGCGGCGCUAAUACCGCAUAUUCUCUGAGGAGGAAAGUGGGGGACCGCAAGGCCUCACGCUCACGGAGCGGCCGAUGUCGGAUUAGCUAGUUGGUGGGGUAAAGGCUUACCAAGGCGACGAUCCGUAGCUGGUCUGAGAGGAUGAUCAGCCACACUGGGACUGAGACACGGCCCAGACUCCUACGGGAGGCAGCAGUGGGGAAUUUUGGACAAUGGGGCAACCCUGAUCCAGCCAUGCCGCGUGCGGGAAGAAGGCCUUCGGGUUGUAAACCGCUUUUAACCGGGAAGAAAAGGCAUCUCUUAAUACGGGGUGUUCUUGACGGUACCGGUGGAAUAAGCACCGGCUAACUACGUG